Molecule: non-coding RNA, 27 nt
Filed under: Rattus norvegicus (Norway rat)
Lineage: Eukaryota; Metazoa; Chordata; Mammalia; Rodentia; Muridae
Source: RNAcentral
UGCGUGGUUCGUUGCUGCUUUGUGUAC